UUCUUUAAUUGAGGACUGGAAUGAAGGGUAGAUACUAAAAGGAAAGUUUUAUUAGAUAAUUUUGAAUUUAGAUUAAAAGUAAAAAUUCUUUUAUUAAUCUUUGGGACGAGAAGACCCUAGAAGCUUAAAACUUCUGAAAGUUUUUAAUUGGGGCAAUUAUUAAAGAUAUAAAUUUUUAAUUAUUAUAUUUAAGGUUUAAUAGUUACUCUAGGGUUAACAGCGUUAUUUAAUUAGCAAGUUCUUAUUAAUAAUUAGGUUUGCGACCUCGAUGUUGAAUUAAAUUGUAUUUUAGGUGUAGAAGCUUAAAGGAUAGGUCUGUUCGACUAUUAAUAAUUUACGUGAUCUGAGUUCAGACCGGA
RNAcentral lists this ribosomal RNA (359 nucleotides) under Ayacucho titschacki. RNAcentral describes it as "partial large subunit ribosomal RNA". The stretch from base 104 to 359 matches the Rfam family "Bacterial large subunit ribosomal RNA", at positions 2078 to 2620 of the family's 2925-position model. Lineage: Eukaryota; Metazoa; Arthropoda; Arachnida; Opiliones; Metasarcidae. The record is from RNAcentral.